UUUUGCAUUUUUUUUUUAUUAAAUUUCCUGUUUACAAAACUUUGAUUUUUUGAAAAACUAAGGAUUUUCUUAUCCAAGGCAUAGAUUACCUUAGCCGCAUUUGGCACAACUUUUUGGAAAUUUGGAUCCUCAAUGCUCUUCAACUUUUUACUUGUUUGGCUUUAUAAAGAUUUUGAUAUGAGCGUCACUGAUGAGUCUUAUGUAGACGAAACGCGCGUCUGGCGUACUAAAUUAUAAUCCUGGUACCUUUGAUAACUAUUUACUUGCAUAUGGAUAUUACAAUGACAUUUACCAAACCCUAUAUUAUCGUAUUUGCCCCAUCAAAGAACACUUCAGGCAUGAAGCUGGUAUAUUUUGAGAGGAUAACAAUGUAUAGAAAAAAGUGAAAUCACACAAAUACUGAACUUAGAGGAAAAUCAAUACGGGAAGUCCAUAAUCACAUGGCAAAAUCAAAUAAUAAAACGCAUCAAAAACGAAUGGACAAGAACUGUCAUAUUCCGGACUUGGUACAGGCAUUUUCAAAUGUAGAAAAUGGUGGAUUAAACCUGGUUUUAUAGCGCUAGCCACUCUCACUUUGAUGACAGUUUCAUCAUAUUCCGUUAUAAUUACAUUGAUGCGUUAACUAAAAAGACACAAUAGAAGAGCAACAAAUAGCGAAACUAUUCCUUUGAAUGUCCACAUGCUAGAUAACGUCAUUAUGCGAUUUCACAAGAACAAUUGGUGGAAGUAAAAAAAAAAUCGCACAAGAUAUAACUGCUUGCAUAGAUAUCACAGUAGAAACAUCCUCCUCUAAAGCUCGAAACUUAUGUUAAGACAACAUUCAACAAAUUACAUGUAAUUUAUUUUGUAUUAACAAUAGCCAAUAUCUAGAAGAAUUCAAUAAAAGUAGUGGCAGUGUUGGUAACGGAAACAGAAAUGGAAGUCCCACAUCAAAAUGGUCUUCGAUUAUAUGUGCCUGCUACCAAACAGAAGACCUUAAGUAGAAGACAGAAAAAAACACCUUCACCAAAAGAAAAGUAAGUGCCCAGUAUAAUUUCGUUUGAUUAAUGAUAAGUUUUAAAAGGCCAAAUCAAGUACGAAGUUGAAGAGCAUAGAACCAUUUUCACAAAAUGGUCCAUCUCUUUUCAACCAUACUCUUUGCUGCGUCAAUACUUUUACAAAAUGAACAUUUCGUAAUACACUAGACUACAGUAGGAGUCAUAAUCAUUACGCUUGUUAAAGAGAUUUUACACUAAUACCCCCUUCACAUACACGAAUGUGUCUUACGAUUCCUUACGAAUGUUGUUUGUUUUAAUAAAUAUAUAUAUAUAUUAGUCAAAUGCAAGCAUUCGCAAGCAAUCGUAAACCACUCGCAAGCAAUCGUAAAUCACUCGCAAGCAAUCGUAAACCACUCUUAAACAAAUCGUAGACAUUCGCAGACAAUCG
Molecule: long non-coding RNA, 1425 nt
Filed under: Mytilus galloprovincialis (Mediterranean mussel)
Lineage: Eukaryota; Metazoa; Mollusca; Bivalvia; Mytilida; Mytilidae
Source: RNAcentral